UAAUUUCACAGUCCAGUCCCCAUUGCCAUGUAUAGCUUCUUCAAUUUCCAAAGCUGAUUGUAUCAUUUCCUCAUCUUCUUUACUGGCCUCGCGGAAUGAAAUCUCUCUCCAGAAAUGAUCACUCCCCAACUCUUCAGCCACUUGUUUAGCUUGAGCUUCUAGCUUGGGAUAGUCUGGAUGACAAAGAAGAGAAAUAUGUGCUCCACCAAUUCGACGGAGCUGUUCUUCUACUUGUACAGCAUGCUGGAGACAGAAUACAUGUAUUCUGAAAGAGUCUUCAUCAGAUGUUGAAGUAAAUUGCAUACGUGCAUUAUCAAAUGGAGCAACAGCAUUGUUUUGUGCUAUUUCCCUUAUAUUGGAAAUACACUUUGCAGGGACUUGAUGGGACCUUGGUUGAUG
RNAcentral lists this unclassified non-coding RNA (399 nucleotides) under Hevea brasiliensis (rubber tree). The record is from RNAcentral. Lineage: Eukaryota; Viridiplantae; Streptophyta; Magnoliopsida; Malpighiales; Euphorbiaceae.